GAAAAAAAGUAUAACUUAUUUGUAAAGUGCUAUCAUUCUGAGGUAUAAAUAUCUUGAAAAAGUUCCUGGGGAGUGGUAACAAUCGGAACGAUUCUUGACUAACGCAUUAAAUUUCACGUGUUAGAGAGUUUGUGAUUCAGACUAUACAUAAUACAGUAUAUGAGCGGGUUUUU
This 173-nucleotide small RNA is filed under the name Arabidopsis thaliana (thale cress). RNAcentral describes it as "ATSL020010". Lineage: Eukaryota; Viridiplantae; Streptophyta; Magnoliopsida; Brassicales; Brassicaceae. The record is from RNAcentral.